UGCCAGACUCCUACGGGAGGCAGCAGUGGGGGAUAUUGCACAAUGGGGGGAACCCUGAUGCAGCGACGCCGCGUGGGUGAAGGAGCGUUUCGGCGCGUAAAGCCCUAUCGGCAGGGAAGAAGGAGGACGGUACCUGACUAAGAAGCCCCGGCUAACUACGUGCCAGCAGUCGCGGUAAUACGUAGGGGGCAAGCGUUAUCCGGAUUUACUGGGUGUAAAGGGAGCGUAGACGGCCAAGCAAGCCAGGGGUGAAAGCCCGGGGCCCAACCCCGGGACUGCCCUUGGAACUGCUUGGCUGGAGUGCGGGAGGGGCAGGCGGAAUUCCUGGUGUAGCGGUGAAAUGCGUAGAUAUCAGGAGGAACACCGGCGGCGAAGGCGGCCUGCUGGACCGUGACUGACGUUGAGGCUCGAGAGCGUGGGGAGCAAACAGGAUUAGAUACCCGAGUAA
Molecule: ribosomal RNA, 448 nt
Filed under: uncultured bacterium
Lineage: Bacteria
Description: partial 16S ribosomal RNA
Rfam family: Bacterial small subunit ribosomal RNA
Source: RNAcentral